This 488-nucleotide ribosomal RNA is filed under the name uncultured bacterium. RNAcentral's name for it is "partial 16S ribosomal RNA". It matches the Rfam family "Bacterial small subunit ribosomal RNA", at positions 28 to 507 of the family's 1533-position model. The record is from RNAcentral.
GACGAACGCUGGCGGCGUGCUUAACACAUGCAAGUCGAACGCGCCUGUCCUCUGGGUUUCUGGGGGGUGGGUGAGUGGCGAACGGGUGAGUAACACGUGAGUAACCUGCCCCCUUCUUCGGGAUAACGGUCUGAAAGGGCUGCUAAUACCGGGUAUUCACUGGUCUCCGCAUGGGGUCUGGUGGAAAGGUUUUUUUCUGGUGGGGGAUGGGCUCGCGGCCUAUCAGCUUGUUGGUGGGGUGAUGGCCCACCAAGGCUUUGACGGGUAGCCGGCCUGAGAGGGUGACCGGUCACAUUGGGACUGAGAUACGGCCCAGACUCCUACGGGAGGCAGCAGUGGGGAAUAUUGCACAAUGGGCGCAAGCCUGAUGCAGCGACCCCGCGUGAGGGAUGGAGGCCUUCGGGUUGUGAACCUCUUUCGCCCGUGGUCAAGCCGCGACGUGGGUCGUGGUGAGGGUAGUGGGUAAAGAAGCGCCGGCUAACUACGUG